RNAcentral lists this ribosomal RNA (147 nucleotides) under uncultured soil bacterium. Its description in RNAcentral is "partial 16S ribosomal RNA". It matches the Rfam family "Bacterial small subunit ribosomal RNA", at positions 26 to 166 of the family's 1533-position model. The record is from RNAcentral.
AGAGUGAACGCUGGCGGCAGGCCUAACACAUGCAAGUCGAACGGCAGCACAGCAGAGCUUGCUCUGUGGGUGGCGAGUGGCGGACGGGUGAGGAUAACGUCGGAAUCUGCCUAUUUGUGGGGGAUAACGUAGGGAAACUUACGCUAA